RNAcentral lists this long non-coding RNA (1435 nucleotides) under Mus musculus (house mouse). RNAcentral's name for it is "long non-coding RNA chr2:129038545-129039980". The record is from RNAcentral. Lineage: Eukaryota; Metazoa; Chordata; Mammalia; Rodentia; Muridae.
GAACGACAUCAAAGCAUGACAGGAGGUGUUCGGAUUCCCUGGCCCAAGCCUCAAGCAGGGCCUGGAGGGUGGCAGGGCUCCAAUCCAGGCCAAGCGUCUGGGGACUUUGUGAAAAGAGUUCUUUCACUUUGAUCACAAGCCUCUGAAGACCUGCCACGGCAGCCUCCAAGUCUCUGCCAGUUUGCUGCUGUGGGCAGCAGACCCAAACCAAAUGGGCCACCCGGAUCAUCUGCUUAGCCUGGUUGUGGAAAGCAUCGAGAAGUAUCUGGACAGUCUCUGCCAAGGCUUCGCUAUCACAGCGGAACCUGAUAGUGGACGUCGCCAAGGCGGCCUGGACCAGUGUCUCUAGAGGACUUUGGGUGUCUGUGAACGUGUCCAGAAUCUGGCGCAGUAACCCAGCGCGAACUGCUCGAAAGAGCGCAUCAGUCGCGGCCCGCAGAGCUUCGCAGUCGGUCCCUGGACUGGACCGGGGGAGACUGUGCACCCCGGGUCGCAGCUGCAUCAACUGCCGGCAGCGGGACACCAGGUGCAUCCUCUCCUGUGGCGCGGAGCAGGCGGCUAGACGCAGGCAGUGCCACACCACGGCGGCCAGUGGUGCAUCCAGUAGCAGGUGACCAGGCCCAGGGUCCUCCAGGACCUUUCGCAGCUUGCACAGACCGCGCGCCAAUGCUCCAUUCUGAGAGAGCACUCCGGUCCCUACGACGCCAACGCCGGGCUGCAGCGCGUCCAGGAGCUCUUCGAGGCUCUGCCUGGUCAGAGCGAAGACCCGGCGCCGUGAGGCCACCAGCUGCGGAUCGCGGGGAUGCCGGAGGUGACCGUGGGCAGCCGCGAGCAGUGCGGGGACACAGCACCCUAGGCGGUGGCGAGCUCGACCCAGAUGCUGGUCCCAGGCCCAGCGCGCGGUCAGGCCGCCCAGUCUGAAAAGCGCAGCCGCCAGGUCAUCAAGCGAGGUGCGCAGCGAGGUGGUGUCCUCCGCCUCCUCCAGCGCCUCCACGCAUGUCAGACACCAAUUGGCCGCUGUCCUGGUCUUCCUCACCGCAGCAGCAUCAUCAAGGAGCAAGACCUGAUGGGGCCGUCACAAAAGGGAAGAGACUUGAAGAUAACUGGACAUUUUUGGAGCCUCGUAGUUUAAGCCUAGAAAACCUUAUUUUCAGUUAACCUGCAUGUAACCAAAUACAGGCAUUAGGCUAGGACCUGAGAAUCCACACUUCAGUCUUAGAGAUUUACAGCUGUAAAACCAAAGAUCUUAAGUAGCUGCCUUCACUCCGCGUUUCAUGUGGGGGUCUAACCUAGACUGUUCAAGGAUGGAUUAUUAUUUAGAUGAGAAUGAUAGGCUGGAGAGCGGGCCUGUCCUGCAAGCUUCUUUGAGACAGCUUUUGUAGCCUCACUGCCUCUCCUGGACACUCCGUCCACUCCCCAACCCUUUACCCAAGCC